GACGAACGCUGGCGGCGUGCCUAACACAUGCAAGUCGAACGGAAAGGCACUGCUUUUGUGGGGUGCCCGAGUGGCGAACGGGUGCGUAACACGUGAGUAACCUGCCCUUGACUUUGGGAUAACUUCAGGAAACUGGGGCUAAUACCGGAUAGGAGCUCCUGCUGCAUGGUGGGGGUUGGAAAGUUUCGGCGGUUUGGGAUGGACUCGCGGCUUAUCAGCUUGUUGGUGGGGUAGUGGCUUACCAAGGCUUUGACGGGUAGCCGGCCUGGGAGGGUGACCGGCCACAUUGGGACUGAGGGACGGACCAGACUCCUACGGGAGGCAGCAGUGGGGAAUAUUGCACAAUGGGCGGAAGCCUGAUGCAGCAGCGCCGCGUGCGGGAUGACGUCCUUCGGGUUGUAAACCGCUUUCGCCUGUGACGAAGCGUGAGUGACGGUAAUGGGUAAAGAAGCACCGGCUAACUACGUG
RNAcentral lists this ribosomal RNA (468 nucleotides) under uncultured bacterium. RNAcentral describes it as "partial 16S ribosomal RNA". It matches the Rfam family "Bacterial small subunit ribosomal RNA", at positions 28 to 507 of the family's 1533-position model. The record is from RNAcentral.